CUCCCACCCCCCUUCGGCCCUAACGCCGGGCUCUCGCGCGCGCCGCGCUCUUAUGGCCCGGGAGGGCGGGACUAAGUUGCGCUGGAGCUCUUCAUUGGCGGGAAGCGCGCCGUGCCGGCGUCUAUUGGCUGGAGGGGCGCGCGGGUGCGGAGUGCGCGCGUGCGGGGUUGCGCGCCCGGGCGGGCAUUGCGGCGGGUGAGGGGCCGCGCGGCGCGCGGGGCCGGUGCUUGUCCGCGAGGAGGCAGCAGCCCGCCGGUCUGUGAGGGGCAUCUGCUCAGCGGGGUAGCGUUUGUUACAUUUGCAGCAAAGUAACAGGAAAAACGUUGUUUACACGUGUUCAUUCAGAGACCAGACAACCUGCAGGGAGGAUAGCCGCCCUUCAGAAACGCUCCUAAGAGUGACAUACUCCUGUCAGAUGCCCGGCGUCUCUCAGCAGGCGAGGGCUGAGCCUCGAGAAGCGUUUACUUUACAGAACGUUCGACCGUCUUUCAUUUAAGGGGUUGUUUGCACCUUGCUGUGGGUUUUGGGGUCUUUAGGGAUCCCUGGUGGCCUAUAUAUGCUGUUGUUUUUCACCCUGGCUAUGGAAGCUGCAACAACAGUUAAAGUCGUUUCUACAACUGGCCGCAGAGCCCCUGAACGGGAUCGCACCGGCUUGGCUCGUCACAAAACCCAACCUCCCGUUCACCAUCACUUCUGCUCAGGACAAUACCUCACACCUGUGGAUAAAUGCUACCCUCAUUGGUACUGCUAAAAUCGUUGUAGCAGUGAGGUCCCUACAGAACACUCAAUGGAGAGCAGAAAAGACCCAUCAGAAGUAUGGAGAGCCACCAAGCCUGAUUAUUUUAAACAUUUCAUUUUCAUUUGUUUUUUGCUUAGAUAAUUUGAGCUGAAUGUUGAUACCAAAGCAUACACUUUAUGGAACAAAUGAUUCAUAGGAAAC
Molecule: long non-coding RNA, 940 nt
Filed under: Manacus vitellinus (golden-collared manakin)
Lineage: Eukaryota; Metazoa; Chordata; Aves; Passeriformes; Pipridae
Description: lncRNA (ENSMVIG00005019610.1)
Source: RNAcentral